RNAcentral lists this ribosomal RNA (445 nucleotides) under uncultured bacterium. RNAcentral's name for it is "bacterial SSU rRNA". It matches the Rfam family "Bacterial small subunit ribosomal RNA", at positions 29 to 506 of the family's 1533-position model. The record is from RNAcentral.
AUGAACGCUGGCGGCGUGCCUUAAGCAUGCAAGUCGAACGGAGCGGUUGUUCCCGCAAGGGAAUGAUCAAUUAGUGGCGGACGGGUGAGUAUGAGCAGGGAACGUACCCUAAACUACCUGGAUAGCUCGUCGAAAGACGGGGUAAUACAGUAUGUGAUCGCAAGAUCAAAGACGCAAGUCGGUUUAGGAGCGGCCCUGUGCCCAUCAGCUUGUUGGUAGGGUAACGGCCUACCAAGGCUACGACGGGUAGGGGGUGUGAGAGCACGACCCCCCACAAUGGCACUGAGACACGGGCCAUACACCUACGGGUGGCAGCAACUGGGAAUAUUCGGCAAUGGGCGAAAGCCUGACCGAGCGACGCCGCGUGAGGGAUGAAGUAUUUCGGUAUGUAAACCUCUUUUAUAUAGCCGUCGAGGCUAUAAGAAUAAGCACCUACAAACUACGU